CCGCACCCGUCUUUCUCCUCCAGCGAAUCGAGCGGGCAGCGAGCGACAGUGAAAGAAACGCUCCCAGCCCUAGCCCACCCCGCGACCCUCGUUCCUCAUGCGCCGCCCCCGACGCCCCCCGCCCGCGAUGGAGAAAUUGAGAGGAAAGAGGAGAGGAAGGUGAGGCAGCAGGCAUGAGAGGGUCAUCGGCUGCUGUCGGCCAGCGCCGGCGAGGUCGGGCACGACCUGGCGGUUGGUGGCGGCUCGAUCCGCUCCUGGAUCGGGAGAGGAGGAAGGGAGGUGGGGGGCCGGCCGUCUCUGUGCCUCCUCGCCGCCGAGCUGCGGCUGCCCCGUGCGCUCUCUCUCUCUCUCGAUCUCGAUCUGAGAGGAAACGAGGUAGCCACAGCCUCCUGCACCCCCUUCUCUCUCGCCGCUGCUGCUCCCCAACCACCGUGCUGUGAUGUUGCUUCCCCAAUUGGUCGCUGUCUCGUCUCCCCCGACCUCAAUACCGUCCUGGGCGGCGCCGGUACCGAGGCGCCACCUCUGCCUCCACCCCCACUGGGCAAGGAGCUCGAGGUGUUUGGGGGAUUUUUGUCCCUGAUGUUAAUUAGGGUGACUAUUUCUGUUUGGGUAAUCUGGGGGACGAAUUUGAUGCUUGUGUUAAAUUCUCGUUGUAUCAUUUUUUGUGCCCAUUAAAUACAUUUACCAUUUUAUGACUUGAAUUUGCGGCCAGAGAGCGUUGAUUUUACCGAAUACAGGUCAAUUAUUCUUCACUAAUUCAUUUCCUUGUAGUACAGUUGUGUUAGUUAUUUGCUUGCAAGAUAGCAUCUUCCUGAAUGAUUUCUUUGUAUUUUUCAGAUAAGGAGAACUUUAACCUUGCGCCCACCUAUGGCAAUAUUGCCAUCUUUAUAUUCUCCCUCGCUCAUCAGCGGCAGCGAUGGUGGUGUCAUUGUCGGCCUUGCAGCAUGUGGCAUAAUCAUGUCCAUUGCCUACUCUGGGGCAGAUCUGAUGCAAGACUUCAAGUGCGGCUACCUCACCCUCUCUUCACCAUGUGCAGUGUUCAUCUCGCAGGUUCCAAGUUGGUUAAUGUUGAUUUUUGCUCAUGCACAACCCAUCAUAGGAAUUAGUAGGAUCAUCUUCGAUGGAUGUAAGGACUGCAACAGGUUUCUUUCAGCAGCCUGGGGUUGUUAAGAACAGGGUCGGGAUUGCUCUGGGCAGAUGCUUAAGUUCCUGGAUGUAAACGCACACUUGUCUCCUACACAUGCCAAAAUACUAUUGGAGAUAAGGAUACCCGCGCUGCUGCUGUUGCGUUUGGUUAGGGAGGGGCUUCUUCGUCUGCUUUGCCGUGUGGUGGCUGUGUGGCUGCUUGUUCCUUCUUUGCUAGGCAGGGAUCGGCUUUGGUGGUGGCAGACGCUGGCAAGUCAUGGGGUUAGAGCAUAUGAAGCUGACAUGGCGUUUGAAACUUACGUGGUCAUUGAAGGGCUUCGCAAUAGUGCUUACAGAGUCUGGGAAAGAAAAUAUGGAGGAAUAAGCUACGAUAAUUUUGGUGAAGAACUUUCUUUCCCUAUGUUGUGAAGAGUUUGGUCCUCUGAUAGAUUUGUGUUCUUAGAAAAUGCGAGGAUGAUGACAAUGAUUGUGCUACUUCUAUCUUCUUCAGCUCCUCAUGCUUCCCAAGGUCGCAGGUGUUAGUGGAGAUUGAAGUUCGAAGGAGGCUGCUCGCGAGACGACUGGGCUUCCUUCAAUAGUGGUGCUAACAUUUUGAAUAAUAAACCGGGAGCUGACAAGCGGUCUGAAUUUCUGCUAGGUAUGCUUCUCCAUCCCCCUACCUUCUCAGUUCCCCCAUUUCUGUUGGGUCUGAAUUUCCGGUUGAUUAGGAAAUAUGAACAUCGUACCAUCUGAAUUUACCUAUUUUAUUACCAUGUUCCUUAUAUAUUCAGUUGUGUCAUAGAUAAUUCACCCCCUCGACUUCUAUACAAUUUUUUGUCUAUUCUGCACCAUACAACAACAGCCCAACAAGAAAUACAUGUACACGUAUUUUGCCGACUCAGUUGCUGUGGUAUGGUACUUAUGUCAUGCAAACAAAUAACCUGCUUAAUUUACUUUAGUGAUUUAAAUUUACAAAAUUAGGGUAAUAGUGAUCUGAAUGUACAAACUAGGAUAUCUGUGACCUAUUUGAUACACUCAAACAGUUUUCGAAAACUGAUAAUGUUAUUUACUUACAUGUGAAUGUUUACUCAUAAAUCUAGAAGUGGUUGGCAAGGUAAAUGAGGGUAAAACUGAGAAUAUGUCAACAAUGCCAACAUGCACAUGCUUCAUGUUUGAAUAAAUGUUAAAAAUAUACUCCCUCUGUUCCUACAUAUAAGACCUUUUAGAGAUGCAGAGGCCGGGGGUCCCCCUCCUUUUCUAAAAAAAAAGACUACAUACAGAGCAAAAUGAGUGAAUCUACACUCUAAAGUAUGUCUAUAUACAUCCGUAUGUAGUCCAUAGUGGAAUCUCUAAAAGAUCGUAUAUUUAGGUAUUCUGAAAUAGAGUGACUGAAGGAGUGUCAAACUAUAUACAUGAGGAUGCAUAUCUUAAGAGUUUAUUAUGUUAAUAAAUACUAAUUUACUUGCCAGUGGAUUACUUUGGUUAGUUUUCACAAGUUUUCAAAUUGUAGGAUUUUUUUACCUUACCGCUUUGUAGCCCCUGUAGAGGAAUGUAUGUAGUGGAUCAUGCACUACUGGAAGUUGAUCGUUGGGUGAAGGAAGAUGGAUGGUCUUACCGCUCUGUUCUUCUUGCUAAGUGGAUUACGACUUCCUUGCUCCCCUUUAUGGACAAGCAUUCUCAUCUGCUGGUCACUUGCCUAAGAUACAAUAUGCUAAUGCUAUCUUGGUUCUGUUUCGUUUGCUCUUGCAGAAAAUAAGUGAAAUGUGCAGACCGACCACAUGGGCGGCCGGUCUUGCAACUCCCAGUGCUCUCAACCCCCCACUAACCCUCUCUCAUUUUGAUCUAGCCGACUAAGAUUUAUUAAGUACUGCAACCAAAUCAUAAUUUGGACACCAAAACCUGAAUGAUAAGUAACAUGUAGAUAUACCAUGUGCUGCAGAUGUCAAUCGUGGAUGCGGAAAAUACCUCGGGAGUAGAGUCAAUUAGAACUGUGGAUUGAUGUAUUUAUUCCUUUGUAUUAUUAAAAACAACCUUUAUAUAUAAGCACAAUGACUUCCACCAUGGCUUUGACAGGGACAGUCAAGUGUUCUGAUUUAUUGCUGCUAUAUUCAAAUUUAUCGGAUGCCCACUAAAGAGUUGCAUGUGCAAGCAAUUCUUGCUGUUCCAUGCAGAAUAGUUUGGUUCAUAAAUGCAAACUGAUUAACCAUAUGAUUGCAUUGGCUGUGUAUUAGGAUUCGUUCUGCCUUCUUCUUUUUUAUAUUGUCCUCUAUUUGUUGUGCCUAAUCUUUAUGUCCUCAUUGUUUUUGUUACAUUUUAUAACUCUAGGAUCUACUCGGCACGAACGAAAUUACUAACAUGCCUCUUCUUUUUACUAAUGAUUGAAACUCAGGAUAAACACUACUGGCAAGGGGGCUUGCUGAUGUAAACACCCUUCUCCUUUACUGGUUUAUCUUAGAAGGCAAGCAUGAUGUUUUUCCUAGUUGAUUCCCUACUCCAGUUAAUCAUUCAAUGUUCUUUUUGCCCUUCUUUGAAUAUCAAUAGGAACUCCUCAGGAAUUCAAAGCUAAGAAUUGCCAACUAACUUUUGUGUUCAGCGCAGAGAAGAUCAUCCUUCCUUUAUUUUUCUUUUAACUUUUGUUGUCUGCACACUACAAAACACAUCCAUAAAUUUCAUAGAAUGCCCCUUUCGGUUUCUAUACCGUUCAUCUUUUUUAUUUCAAUCUUCAUGCAUCCAGAUGCUAUCUUGCCCAGGGUUUCAACAAAAUUACUUUCUGCUCUAGAUUUUGUCUAGGCUCAGAACAAAAAUAUUACUCUAUAAAAUGAGCAUGGAAUGACAAAACUCAUGUUCACUCUUGAAAACUAUUUCACAGUGCUUUAUAUAAACAUUUUGGUUUUUUUAUUCCCUACUUUUAAAAGUGUUUUUUGUUCAAAUCAAUUAUUACCUUUUUUGUGAGGGGUUCAAAGAAAAAAAAUUGACAAACCAAUUAUUAUUACUUAAAAGGAUAAGAGCAUCCGUUUGUCUUUUGGGCCAACGGCCCUCUCUUCUGGCCUGCCGCAUCCACUCUGUCCACCGAAUCUUAUCAUGUCUGCUUCCCUGAGCUCAUCUUCUUCUCCUCUCUCUGCCUCCAAGUCCUCUCUGACUGCGCUGUUUCGCUAGAUCCCCGGAGAGCAAGAAGAGCACCACCAUCUGCUCCAACCCGCCGACUGGUAGAUCCGUUUUGGUUCUUAACAGAAUCAACGAGAGACCCCUCCGAGCACAAGGCUAAUUACCAAGCCCUCUGGGUUUCUGUUUUGGACCCAUUCUCAUGGAGUUGGUAGAUCUGUCCACCACAUCGCUAGCUGAGGCAAUGUUUGAGAAGCUCGGGCUACCUAAACCAGUCUAUUAUGUGCACCAACUUGAGCAGGGUCGAUAUAGAUCAGAGGUUGAAUUUCAUUGUACAAAAGAGCGCUUCCACGCUUCAGCACGUUGGACUAAACUGUCAAGUUGUAUAUGUGAGCAUGGGGAAGCAUCAUUGAAUCAUGCAGCCGAUAAGGUCAUCGGAUACAUGGAAACCAGAGAGAGGAAUGUUGUUGUUAACUACUAUCAGCUGCAGGAGCAGAAAAACAGCCACCUUUUGUUUCAUAUCGAUCAAACCAGUAUCUUUCCCAUUUUGGGGUACUCGAGCAAGAUAUGUAUAGUCUUUGGUCUUCUAUUGCUACCUGUAUGGUUAAAAGUAGUGUAUGGUGCACUGUAUAAACUUUAGAUUUCGCUUUUUCCUCA
Long non-coding RNA from Triticum aestivum (bread wheat), 4884 nucleotides. RefSeq lists it as uncharacterized. NCBI's taxonomy places the organism in Eukaryota, Viridiplantae, Streptophyta, Magnoliopsida, Poales, Poaceae. The transcript is spliced from 10 exons. The record is from RefSeq and is a predicted model, not a curated record.